RNAcentral lists this ribosomal RNA (118 nucleotides) under Pteropus alecto (black flying fox). The record is from RNAcentral. Lineage: Eukaryota; Metazoa; Chordata; Mammalia; Chiroptera; Pteropodidae.
GUCUAUGGCCAUGCCACUCUGAACAUGCCUGAUCUCGUCUGAUCUGGAAGCUACGUAGGGUUGGGCCUGGUUAGUACUUGGAUGGGAGAUCACUUAGGAAUAUCACGUGCUAUAGGUG